This 148-nucleotide unclassified non-coding RNA is filed under the name Cladosporium cladosporioides. RNAcentral's name for it is "sequence contains ITS2". Lineage: Eukaryota; Fungi; Ascomycota; Dothideomycetes; Cladosporiales; Cladosporiaceae. The record is from RNAcentral.
CACCAAUCAAGCCUGGCUUGGUAUUGGGCAACGCGGUCCGCCGCGUGCCUCAAACCGUCCGGCUGGGUCUUCUGUCCCCUAAGCGUUGUGGAAACUAUUCGCUAAAGGGUGUUCGGGAGGCUACGCCGUAAAACAACCCCAUUUCUAA